Long non-coding RNA from Oryzias melastigma (Indian medaka), 445 nucleotides. RefSeq lists it as uncharacterized. The record is from RefSeq and is a predicted model, not a curated record. Lineage: Eukaryota; Metazoa; Chordata; Actinopteri; Beloniformes; Adrianichthyidae. The transcript is spliced from 2 exons.
CACAUUUAUCAUUCUUGUUUUAAUACUCGGAAACAUUUAAAAAACGUGUCUAUACAUUGGGUUUAGUGCAGCUAGACUGGCAGGAGAACCACCAUCAAGUCAGCCCAGAGGUCAAAAAUCAAGGAGAAGCUUCAACAGACUGUGGCUUCAGCAUCCUCGGGGUCAUCCUCCUCCAACAGGCUGUAGGACGCAUGACUCUGGAAAGGUCUCUGUAGAGGGUGAGCCAGCAGCUUGGCCAUGCAGUUGUGCAGCUCUAUAGCAGGUCCACUGAGAGAAACCUCAAAGCGAUAACACAUGCCCUUUGAGUCCAGGUUACAGAAGGAGGAGUAGUUGUCCUGCAGGAGAUAAAAACGUCGAGAGAGUCAAAGAGAGCUGUGAAUCAUUCAAGCAUCUGGAGAGGGAUCUUAUUUUCUGAAUUUUUGAAAAAUAAAUAUAUAUAUAUAUA